RNAcentral lists this ribosomal RNA (444 nucleotides) under uncultured bacterium. RNAcentral describes it as "partial 16S ribosomal RNA". It matches the Rfam family "Bacterial small subunit ribosomal RNA", at positions 331 to 792 of the family's 1533-position model. The record is from RNAcentral.
CCAGACUCCUACGGGAGGCAGCAGUGGGGGAUAUUGCACAAUGGGGAAAACCCUGAUGCAGCAACGCCGCGUGAGUGAAGAAGUAUUUCGGUAUGUAAAGCUCUAUCAGCAGGGAAGAAAAUGACAGUACCUGACUAAGAAGCCCCGGCUAACUACGUGCCAGCAGCCGCGGUAAUACGUAGGGGGCAAGCGUUAUCCGGAUUUACUGGGUGUAAAGGGAGCGUAGACGGCUGUGCAAGUCAGAAGUGAAAGCCCGGGGCUCAACCGCGGGACUGCUCUUGGAACUGCGCGGCUGGAGUGCAGGAGGGGCAGGCGGAAUUCCUGGUGUAGCGGUGAAAUGCGUAGAUAUCAGGAGGAACACCGGUGGCGAAGGCGGCCUGCUGGACUGCGACUGACGUUGAGGCCCGAAGGCGUGGGGAGCAAACAGGAUUAGAUACCCGCGUA